This 583-nucleotide long non-coding RNA is filed under the name Vigna radiata. Its description in RNAcentral is "long non-coding RNA (VRAD_LNC004571)". Lineage: Eukaryota; Viridiplantae; Streptophyta; Magnoliopsida; Fabales; Fabaceae. The record is from RNAcentral.
ACCUCGGUUAGACAUUGACUUGAGGCAGAAUAAUGAUAUUGCCUCAGUUACAACAAGACCCGAUACCUAUACCUCACUCGCUUAGUCUGACAACUGUUUUGAAAAGGCCUAUUGCCUCGGGUUGCCAGACAACAACUGCCUAUACAAUUGCCACCGUUUCAUUUCUCUGAUCCUAACCUACACACAUUUCUUCAUUCUAGUGCUCUCUCAUUCUUCCCCUCUGUGGGGUUUCGUCCACACUCUUCCAUUCUUGUUGGUGCUCUCCCAUUCUUCCUCUCCCUGUGCUGCCAGUGGUCUCGCCGGCCUCUUUCUUGCCAGUGCUCUCCCAUUCUUCCUCUCCUUGUGCUGUCAAUGGUCUUGCCAGCCUCUUUCUUGCCAGUGCUCGUGCAUGCCACUGCUCGUUGACGUUCUUGGUUGUGCCUCCUGCCUGCGUUGUCACACCAUUGGUGGCCCACCGCUGCUGCUUGGGUGCUUCCUCCACAACUCCACUCUUUUGUUGCUGUUGUAGCCUCCGUCGUUGCUGCCUUCGCCACUGUUACCUCUGCCAUUGCUGCCUCCGCCACUGCUGCCUCCGUCAGAAAUA